Anas platyrhynchos (mallard) is the source of this 3325-nucleotide long non-coding RNA. RefSeq lists it as uncharacterized. The record is from RefSeq and is a predicted model, not a curated record. Lineage: Eukaryota; Metazoa; Chordata; Aves; Anseriformes; Anatidae.
CACAGUCUUGGGAGCUGUGCUCUAGCUGUUUGCCAGGCUCAGAGGCAGCGGCUGGGACCUGUGUCACUUCUUUUUUGUGGUGGGUUGCAUCCCCUUUCGCAGGACCCACUGACGCCAAGAGGCUUGAGCGUGUCAGUAUGAGGAUCGGGAGACUUGCUUCCAGUAGGAUUUCUGGUUUGCUGCGUAGUGUGGACAGGUGGAAGGGUCUCCAGAGAACUCACACCAGAACUUGCUGUCGCUGUUGGUGCACUCGACUCGUAUGGUAGCAGCAUCCAUGCCGGUCACUGCCCAGGCAGCAAAGCUGUUAAUCGAUCCUGCACAGAUGAAGUGAGCCAAGAUCAGGAGGAACAAGUGCAACAUGAAGAGAGACUGUUUGUCCCCUGCCCAUUCUCACAGCUGAACUGGAAACCAGCAGUGUUCUCAAAGAGACUCCAGAUAUCUCUCAUUCCUCACAAGAACAUCUGGCACGUGCCUGUAACUCAGAAAAGGUUAUAUUUUAACAAUUUUGACUGAAUGUUUGAGGCUCAGUAGAAAAUAGAAUAAAAUAUAGAAAGAAGACAGACUUCAGAUACUGCUAGAUUUGGCCUGAAAGCCACCUUAUUAAUGUCUGAUGGUCUGAACUCACUUCCACUACUGAUGGUAAAAGUGUCUUUCCUGGUGCUUUUGCAAAUUUUUUUCUUUAAGCCAGUCCUCAGAAUAGGUAGGUGUUAGGAUUCAUGCUGUUAACUGUGGUCAUGUUUUGACCACAGAUUUUAAAACAAAUGGAGCUAGCCAAUUCCUUCUGAGAACGGAAUUUUAUAGCCUUCUGAGAUACAGCUGAGCUCAGCAAAGAAACCCUAGUCCUUCCACAUUUCAGCACCAUUAAAAACCCAAAGCUGCCCCGAAGCAGGGUAAGAUGCUCACUGAAACAUUCUCCAUAGCUAUGGUCCAUUGAACAAAAGGUCUCUAUGGGUGCUCCAUCAGUAUGGUAGGGAGUGAGAUAGGGUGCAUCAGACAGGCUUCUUUCACUCCAGCAUUAGGCUAAAGGAGUAAUGGUUUUAAUUAAAUAUAAACAUAACUACACCAGAGAAACACUGCUGCAUUCAGAUGGGAGAUUUAUAUUAAACUGUGCUGGCACACAUCGGCCAGUCUGAAUUCACUGGGCACACUGUAUAUAUUAAUCUGUACUUAGCAGCAUGACUGUUUUACAGCUGGAAGAAUUAAUGAGAUGCAGACAAACAGAUAUGCAUGCAGAUAAAAUUAUAAGCAGCAAGACCUGAGAAAGAGAAGGAGCCUGUGGUGCAGAAUUUGAUUAUAUUAUCUAAUACACUUAGCCUAUUGAUUACAAAAACAGUAAAACUGUGAAAGCUUAUUCAUUUCCAGAGUGUUCCCACAGAACAGCAGCAAGGUAUCUUUGAAAGCAGUGGAAGUGUAUUAAAGAGACAAUCAGAAAUAACUUUUCCAGGGGAGAACUGCAGAGGGAUACCUGAUAGAAGACUUGCCCUUCUAUCUCAGUUUGACAAUCUCCCCAGCUUGCCAAUGCCUGACACCUAAUGCCUCAGAAGGUCCAGGUCAAAGACCAAUAUGUUGAAAUGAGGAAAUCUGUUCCCUGUCUUAACUACAGAUCAGAAUCAGAUUGUUUAUGGUUCUUCCAAAGGUUCCACUGGCAAAAACUUGAUUCUGGCCAAACACAGUGGCAAAACUGCCACUGUACAAUGAGAAGAGGCUUUAGGCACUGCUGUGAUCCUCGUUGCUUUAAGAGCCAACUCAGGUGCAAAAUUAGCAGACUGACUAUGCUGCUUUUGCUGUUGGUGGAGCUGAGGGAGGGUAUAGACGUAUUGGGCUUGCACUGUUCAUUUCCCAUCCCUCUUUGCAUCCCCUCAGAAUCUUCACAAAGCACCAGGGCUCAGCUGUGCUUUGCUGGCCUUUCCUAUCAACCUGUCCCCUUCACCAACACAGAUCGCCUUCAGCUCCCUCAUAAACUCUCAGGACUCUGGGAACGAACAGACCUGAUGCUUCACAUUGGCAUCACCCAGGGCCCUAUCUGCCACCAGACAGCAUCUAUCCUAUCCACAUAGAAGUCAAGAGCUCACUCUACCUAUGGCCAACUUUAUCCAGCAAAAACAUGCGUGUGUAUUAAUUUAUUUGUUGAAUACUGACACAGGCACACACAUACAGGUAAUGGGUGGCUCUGCUUGAGAACAUGUUCAAGUUCUGAAGUUGGGGCCUGUGAUGGAUUGACUUUAUUUUCCUAUGUGCACUCAGCUAGCAGAAUUACAAAAAUGUGUUAAAUUUUCAUUUUUGCUUAAAUACACAUGCAGUACUAUUUAAUAUACUAGCUUCUGUCUAAAUGUCUGCUCUCAGAGGCCCCCUUAUAUGUCUCUGUGUUUCCUAACCUUGUAAAGGUGGAUAAUAAUACUUGUCUAUGUCAGAGAGAUGUAAAGGAAGUUAAUUUUGUAUUUCUUUCUUUCUUUUUUUUUUUUUUUCUUUUUAAUAUCCUGAAAUGUAUGAAUAGCAGACAAUGCAGAAAUCAAAUGCAUUACAAUUUUAAACAAUUUAUACAACUGAGAAACUAACUUCUUUUUGAAUUCAGUAUCCUGCUGUGUUGUUUCCCUUCCCAGGUCUACAGGCCAACAAGUGAUAUGCUUAUAGAGAGUUGUAGAUAGCACCCUAGUAAUUAUAUUGUUAUAUGUCUCUUUAAAUAGCCACAAUUAUUUUAGUUUUGAAUAACUUCAGACAAUACAGGGGAAAACACAGAAACGAUGAUGACAGAAAAUUAAUUACCUGAGAAUUUCCUUUUCAGAUGGAUUUCUUUCUCUGAGAUGUUUACAGCGUGCCUUUCUUCUCACAGAUACUCAAAGCACACUUCUACACAGGUUUUUAGUCCUUGACAGUAUAUUUUCUCUGGUUAUUGAAAUCCCGUGGAAACUGUAAAGUAGUUGAACUCUGCUCUUUGCUAUCUGAGUUCAACCAAGUAUGUGGAUGUUUAAGAAGGACCAUUAUAUAUGCAGAAGAAUAAUGUGUCUGAUGAUAAGGAUAUAAGGUGAUCUUCCAUUUUGGAUCCUGGGUUUUCCCUGAGCCAGAAACAUUAACAUUGCAAUCCUCUACAAAAAAAAAUGAUCAUUAAUAGCGAGGAAGAAAAAUGAGUUUGCCCACUGCAUCAAAUCACUGUGAUUGGUUUAUUGUAAUUCAGAUGAAGUGUGUCCUGCCAAAGGACACUGCUGCUGCUGAGGUGAAAUAAGUGCUAUAUAAAAAGUUAUCUCCACUGAAGGAAAACAGUGUUUUUGAUUUCUUUCUGUUGCUGGCUCACUCUGAAUAAAGAUCAUGCGAUUAGUAUAAAGCAAAA